RNAcentral lists this ribosomal RNA (3072 nucleotides) under candidate division SR1 bacterium. RNAcentral's name for it is "23S ribosomal RNA". It matches the Rfam family "Bacterial large subunit ribosomal RNA". Lineage: Bacteria; Candidatus Absconditibacteriota. The record is from RNAcentral.
AACAUAAGAGCAUACAGAGGAUGCCUUGGGAGUAAAUGCCGAAGAAAGACGUGAUACACUGCGUUAAGUUUGGAUCAGGUGUGUGUAACCGUUAUGAGUCCAAAAUAUCUGAAUGGGGAAACCCGGCUAGGGUAAUGCCUAGCACGAACUGGUGUAGUAGCCAGGUAAUCGGAAACCCGCUGAAGUGAAACAUCUCAGUAAGCGGAGGAAAAGAAACAGACAUGUUGAUUCCCUUAGUAGUGGCGAGCGAAGGGGGAGUAUGCCAAAAACUCAUGUUAGCCUGUUAACUGGAUUAAUAAAUCAUGUGUAGCAAUACACUUUUUUGGAUUGAGAGUUAGUGCCUGAUUGGAGGUUAAGCGCAUUGAGGGUUGUGGGAGUUUACGUUCAAGUCUAAUCGCUUGAAAAUAGGUCUACAAAAUAAUACAACAGUAAAAUUAACUGGAAAGUUAAACCAUAGAGGGUGAUAGUCCCGUAUACAAAAUUGUAUUAUUACCUGUUAGUAAAAUUUCCCAAGUACAACAAGGGCACCGUGAAGCCUUGUUGGAAUCAUCCGUGACUACGCGGAAAGGCUAAAUACAUUUACUCACCGAUAGUGAACAAGUACCGUGAGGGAAAGGUGAAAAGAACCCCGGAUAGGGGAAUGAAAUAGAUCCUGAAACUGUAUGCUUACAAUGAGUGGAAGCAGGCUUUUGUCUGUAACUACGUGCCUAUUGAAGAAUGAUCUGACGAGUGGACUGUGUAUGGCAAGGUUAAAGUCGAAGGAGACUGGAGCCGCAAGUGAAAGCGAGGGUUAACUGCCCGUUUAGUCGUACACAUCCGACCCGAAACCCAGUGAGCUACCCAUGAGCAGGUUGAAUCUUAGGUAAGACUAAGAGGAGGACCGGACCGCUAACGGCUGCAACCGUUUCGGAUGACUUGUGGGUAGAGGAGAAAUUCCAAUCGAACUGGGUAAUAGCUGGUUCUCGCUGAAAUAGCUUUAGGGCUAGCCUCGAGUAAGAAGCUUGGGGGAGGUAGAGCACUGAAAGAGAUUGGGGCCGCAAGGUAUCCAACUCUAACAAACUCCAAAUUCCUCCGUAGUGUUUCUCGGGAGUUAGGCAGUGGGAUCUAAGUUUCAUUGCCAAAAGGGAAACAGCCCAGAUCGUCGUUUAAGGCCCCAAAAUCUAUGCUAUAGUGUAAAGGAGGUGGAAUUACUUAUACAACCAGGAGGUUGGCUUAGAAGCAGCCAUCCUUUAAAGAAAGCGUAACAGCUCACUGGUCAAGUGAUUCUGCGCCGACAAUGUAUGGGACUAAGCAUAGUGCCGAAAACACGAAUAGAUACAAAUAAUUAGUAGUUCAUAUUUCUGUGAAUUGUAUAAAUUAAUGAUAAACUAUGAAACAAGAAUUUUGAAUUGAAAUAUCAACUGCUAACUAUUUGUAUAUAUGGUAAGCGAGCGUUCUAAUUGCACUGAAGCCCAAGAGGUAACUUAAGGUGGAGCGAUUAGAAGUGAGAAUGUCAGAAUAAGUAACAAAUGAUGUGAGGUGAAAAACCUCACCACCAAAAAUCCAAGGUUUCCUACGCUACGGUUUUCGUCGUAGGGUAAGUCGGGCCUUAGGAAUGUCUCUAAUGGGGCUUUCUGAUGGACAUAUGGUUAAUAUUCCAUAACUAGGUAUAAAUGUGAUGAAGGGACGCGAUCUGCUAAUCAGUUCAGUAUUUGGCUAUUGCUGAUUGCAAGUUUAGGUGUGCAAAGUUAAGCGGUAAAUCCGUUUGACCUAUAGAAGGUAUCCUUAUGGAUAUUGUUUUACACACUGAGAUAAGCAUGAAUAAUGGUAACAUUAAAAGCUGAUGAAGCAAGUCGCCUAGAAAAGCUUCUAAACUUAGUUUAUAUCUAUCCGUACCGCAAACCAACAAAGGUGGAUGAGUAGAGAAUACUAAGGUGAACGGGAGAAUAAUAGGUUAGGGAACUCGGCAAAAAAUCAGGCGUAACUUAGGGAUAAGCCUUGCCUCAGCAAUGAGGCUGCAACGAAAGACUCUCUACUGACUGUUUAACAAAAACAUAGCUCCGUGCUAACUCCAAAAGAGGAUGUAUACGGGGUGAUGCCUGGCCAGUGUCGGAAGGUUAACAGAAGCAGCGCAAGCUUCUUCUCGAAGCCCCGAUGAACGCCGGCAGUAACUAUAACUGUCCUAUGGUAGCGAAAUUCCUUGGCACAUAAGUAGUGUCCCGCACGAAUGGCAUAACAAGUGGAGAACUGUCCCAACCAUUAACCCGGUGAACUUACAAAGGGAGUGAAGAUGCUCUCUACCCGCACCAAGACGGAAAGACCCUAUGAAGCUUUACUAUAGGUUGUCGUUGUUGUACGAUUUUACUUGCUCAGUAUAGCUGGGAGACUUUGAUAUUAGAUCCUUGGAUCUAAUGGAGUCAUCUUUGAGAUACCAGCCUAGUACUAUUGUAUAACUAACUUGAACUUAACUCGUUCAAAAACAGCGGCUGCUGGGUAGUUUAACUGGGGCGGUUGCCUCCUAAAUGGUAACGGAGGCGUCUAAUGGUCGGCUUAGCUCGGAUGGAAAUCGAGCCUCAAAGUACAAAAGCAUAAGCCGGCUUAACUGCAAGACCUACAAGUUACGCAGAUACGAAAGUAGAGUUUAGUGAACCGAUGCAUGGAUGUGGAUCCUGCAAAGACCAACGGAUAAAAGUUACUCUAGGGAUAACAGGCUGAUCUUGCCCAAGCGUUCAUAGCGACGGCAGGGUUUGGCACCUCGAUGUCGGCUCGUCUUUUCCUGGGGGUGUAGUAGCUCCCAAGGGUUGUUCUGUUCGCACAAUAAAAAGGCACGCGAGCUGGGUUCAGAACGUCGUGAGACAGUUCGGUCCUUAUCUGGUGUGGGCGCGCGAAUUUUGAUGGAGCGGAUCUCUAGUACGAGAGGACCGAGAUCCAUGUGCCUCUGGUGUACCGGCUGUUCUGCCAAGAGCAUUGUCGGGUAGCUACGCAUAGUUUAGAUAACCGCUGAAAGCAUAUAAGUGGGAAGCUGUUCCAAAGAUAAGAAUUCGUUUCAUAGUUUACUAUGAUGAAGGUUCCUUGAAGACUACAAGGUAUAUA